CCCUUAGACGUUCUGGGCCGCACGCGCGCUACACUGACGAAGGCAACGAGCUUUCCUUUACCGAAAGGUACGGGUAAUCUUUUGAAACUUCGUCGUGCUGGGGAUAGAUCCUUGCAAUUUUUGAUCUUAAACGAGGAAUGCCUAGUAAGCGCAAGUCAUCAACUUGCGUUGAUUACGUCCCUGCCCUUUGUACACACCACCCGUCGCUACUACCGAUUGAAUGGUUUAGUGAGGCCUUCGGAUCCGCGACUCGUUUGUGGAGAAGUUGGACAAACUCAGUCAUUUAGAGGAAGUAAAAGUCGUAACA
This 307-nucleotide ribosomal RNA is filed under the name uncultured eukaryote. RNAcentral describes it as "partial 18S ribosomal RNA". It matches the Rfam family "Eukaryotic small subunit ribosomal RNA", at positions 1470 to 1796 of the family's 1831-position model. The record is from RNAcentral.